This 15445-nucleotide long non-coding RNA is filed under the name Ananas comosus (pineapple). Its description in RNAcentral is "long non-coding RNA (ACOM_LNC029061)". Lineage: Eukaryota; Viridiplantae; Streptophyta; Magnoliopsida; Poales; Bromeliaceae. The record is from RNAcentral.
AUGUUCUAAAAGGUUAGAACAAGUGUUUGGAUAAGUUAGAGGAUGAUUGGAAUGUUAAAAGUGAGAAUUUGCAUUGAUCUGGCGAAAAGCAGCAUUUUCUGCUUGCUGUACCGGUACAGCCCUUACCUUGUACCGGUACAAGCUGGCAGAUUCGGGGCAGCAAGGUUAGUUUGGUAAUUUCACAUCUUGUUCUCAGCUAUUUGAUCCCAGCACGACUCCUGGAGCUUGCUGGAGUGUGCUAGAGCUCAGAAGAGGGUUCUCCACCAUUUCUCUCUUUCUCUCUCUAGGGUUUUUCUCUCUCUACAUCGAAUUCGCCGAUUUCGCUCGUUUUCGUCGCAACGUUGGUUCUUCGUUGUUCGCAAGUGUUGCAGAGCCUACGUGGACGUGUGAGGGAGUGUUUUGGAGAGCUUUUCGCAGCUCUGGACCAGUGGGUUGCUGGUUGGAAGCUUGAAAGGUAAACGACUUGAUGUUUUUCCGUUAUCGGCACUCUAGUCGUCGAUUUGAGUAGCGAUUUCAGAUUUUUGCUCUUGGCUGUGCUAAACUGAGAAUUCAGCUAUUAUAAAUGAGAUAAUUAGCUGUGAAUGAACCUCUUUAGCUCAGGGAUCAGCUAUUUUAAAGCUUGAUUGUGUAACCUAGUUCAUUAUGAAGUGAAUUUGGAAUUAAACGCGAGUUUUUGCNUUGUGCCUAUGUUGAUAGUGCCAUGAUAGUGAAAGAUCCUAAUGCCAUAUGUAAAUUAGCAUUACUCCUGUAUGCUUACUAAACUAGUGGAUUCUAGUUGUUGUUAAUAUUUGUUAUACUGAAAUGUCGAUCAAAGGAUCGAGAGCGAGAACAUUGCAAAUGAAAACAUGAGAAUUGAGACAUGUGACAGUGAAAUAUGCUUGCUUGCCAUCGUGCUCAUUCGCACACGCUUGUGAGGGUCGCUCCCUACAAGCCGGCACUCCGGAGUUGGCCUUCGCGACAGUUGCUCGCCGGUGCGGGAUUGGGUGCCGAAGUGGAUUGCCGUGGGAAGUGUAUACUACCACGGGGCCAUUAGGCGCGGCGCAAGCUGGACUACCUUGGGUAGGUCCCUGUGAAGGAAAGGAAAGUACUAAAUGAAAAAGGACGGUAAUGAAUGUUUAUUACUUAAAGUGUACAGCAGUCACUUUUAUGUUCGUGCUUAUACUCAUGUAUAUGUUCAUGAUUACAGAAGUUGCUCUAUCUCUUUUAUGCAAAUGGUUCAUUACUGUAGAAAGCUAUUACAUGUCGAUUACAUGCUUACUACUUAUUAGCAUCAUGCUUAUAAAUCAUGCAAUUAUUGUUAUUGCUUCCAUUUAGUACAUCUUGAGCCUAGUGGUGUAAUUCGCCGAGGCUGGCGGCUUACCCACUGGGAACUAUUGUUAAUAGUUCUCACGCCCUUUUGGUGGUUGUUUUUACAGAGCCUGUUACAGGAGAGGCUAGGGAUCGUGGCAAGGGAGUCGCGCCUAGCUAGGGACUACUAGGAGCGUGCUAGUCGAUCACCUUGCUACUCGGACUACGGCCGAGGGUGAUGUCCCUUUGUAUAGAGAAACCACCAUUGUAUCUAUCCUAUUUUUGUAUACUCGUGAUGUAUAUGUACCACUUGGACCGUGAACUACAGUUGUGACACUUCUCUUCUGUCGAGAUUUUGGGUUUGUACACUUUUUGUUCUUUUGUUGAUAUAUAUCGACCUGUACAUUGCUCUGAUAUCAGGAUAGGACUUUCUUUGUUUUACUUCCUAUCGACUUGUUGCUUGUAGACGCCUUAUAUACUGCAGGUGUAUGGCGGGUCUGUGCACGUGCCGGAUAUGCUUCCGCUGGUACCCGGGCGUGACAUUAAGGGAUUUUGGGUUGUGAGUUAUUGGGGUUAACAAGCUUAACCGGUAAGAUUGGGUAAGAGCCAAAGUUUAUUUAUGAUUUGAGCAUGCAUGCAUUUCUAUUAUUGCAUUGAGUAUAUGUAUCCACUGACAUUCUUCUGCAGGCAUAGUAUUAGAUGCAUUAGUAUUGGUUACUUUUCUUUCCUUGAAAUACUUAUGCUUGGAUAGACCUAGUGGGUAAAUCGGCGAGGUCGGAUGCCGAACCCACUGGGAACUUCGUUGUAGUUCUCACACCACUAACCCUACAGGUCCUAGCACGAGCGGGGCGGCGGAGGACCGAGGCAAGGGUUUAGCGCCGUAGAUAGCGGCCACCGGGACCUUAUACAUUUUGUAGUCAUUCCCCUUUUUGGUAUACAUGUAUCAACUUCUUUUGUUGAUUUAGAGAUGUAAAGUUGUAGACAAACAUGUACUUGGUGUAUGACUAAAUGUAAAAAGAUAUGAUGGAUAAAUGGAAUGUAAUAGUUUUAAUUACUUGUAUUUGGUUUAAAUUUAAUCAAAUAUCAUGUAUGUUGUAUAUUUAGCUUAGAGCUUUUGCUUCCGUUGUUGCUUGCCCUCGUGCAAGUCUUGUAUUAUAUAUGCAAAUCUCUUAUUGAUUGCUUAUUUAUACAUGUUGUUGGAGUCUUGGGCGGACAGGGGAGGCCCUGUCCGUUCGACGUCUGUUGACGUGACCCGAACCCGACCAAAUUGGCGGGGAUUGGGGCGUGACAGAUAUAAUGGUAUCAGAGAGAAGUGGAAAGCCAAAGUCUAGGAAUGACCUAUAAACCAUAGGUUGGAGACCAUAGGGACUCAGGAAAACGUUCAACGUGGACUUGGUUUAUGCGAAAGCGAGUGAUUUGAUUAACGGUAACACUUUUCUAGAGGAAAGUAGAGAUGGACUAGGAGGCUUAAUUGUUGUCUACUUAAGGGACCUUGUGGGGCGGCCGACCACAUGACACCAAUAGUGGAAACGAUUAUGCUUGUUGCUUUCGCUUAAUUGGGUAGUUAUUUGGAACGUGUAAGAGUUACGUGUUCGAGUAUUGAUGUGUGUGUGCAUUGCGUUUCAGGACGCGAUGGCACCACCAAGGAGAGUUACGAGGUCCACACCGGCGGAGCUUCGGGAGGAGCCCGGGCAGUCGAGGUCGGACGAAGUGCGCAAGUUACGAGCCCAGGUAGCGGCUUUGGCCGGGGCUAUGCGACAACAAGGGGAGCAGAUUGGACGGCUCCACGAGAUGAUGGCGCAAUAGGCAGCGGCGGCAUCAGUGUCGAGGGAUCCACCCCCACCGGCUACUCCUGUAGCACCACCUCCUGCGGUGGCGGCAGCACCAGUGACGAUGGUCCCUCCGACGGCAUCGGGUUCAUCGGCUCCUAUCCCUGAUGUACUUAAGGCCGAGCAGGAGCGCACGGUGGCGGCGCUGACGGCAUUCAAGCGAUUCAACCCUCCGACCUUGAACGGCGAUGUGAAGGACCCGUGGGUGACGGAGAGUUGGCUAGCCACGAUGGAGGCCUUGUUCGAGGAUAUCUAUACCCUCGGGAAGGAUAAAGUUCACCUAGCGGCUCAUUGUUUUGAUGGGUAGGCCCGGUUGUGGUGGAAUCAAGUGAAGAAAAAUCGCUCGCUAGAGCACGCUUUUGUUACUUGGGAGGCGUUUCGGGAGAUGCUGCUUAUGGAGUAUUUCCCUGAGAGUGACAAGAGGAAAAUCAAGGAGGAUUUUCGGAAGCUAAGGCAAGGAAGCCGAUUAGUGCGGGAGUACCAGAGGGAAUUCACGCACAUGAUUAACCGCGUGCCGGGCUUGGUUCACGGUGAUAGGGACCGAGCGGAGGUAUUCGAGCGCGGCUUGCGACCCAAGAUUUUUAAGGUCAUACAUGCCUUCCGGUUGAAGACCUACGAGGAAGUGCUCGAUCGCGCGCUUUGGGUGGAGCGCGGGAAUGCCUUUGCGCGUGAUGAGCGCGAGACUUUUGAGAGGGACAUGGAAAGAGAUAGGUCCAAGAAGCGGCCGGCUGGUGGAUCUGCGGGGCAAUCAAGUUCUAAGCGACCCCCGCGACCUCAGCGAUCACAGUGGCGGGGAGGUAGGAGUCAGACACAGGGCCAGAUUACCUACCCGUGUGUGAUAUGCGGCGGAGAACAUAGAGCCACCACAUGCCCACAGCGGGAGGGGUGGUGUUACCAAUGUGGCCAACCGGGGCACAUGAGCAGAGAGUGCCUGGGCGGCGCAUCCCCAGCCCUGUCAUCAGCAUCUGUUUAGUACACUCAGCGGCAGCUGAUGGGACUACCACCCGCCGUAUCUGCUGGACGAUCGUCGGCGCCUCGUCAGCCGGAGGCCUCUCGAGCACCUAGUGGGCAGGUAUUUGCCACUCAGGUGGAGGAGCCACCAAUUAUUGUUCCCGACGACGUCGUGGCAGGUAUUAUUCUUAUCAGAGGCACUAGAGCUAGAGCCAUAUUCGAUACGGGUGCAUCUCAUUCAUUCAUAUUAGCAUCAUUUGCACAAGCUCAUAAUAUAGAGAUCACUUAUAGCGAGGAGUAUUGGUCGCUGAACACUCUCGAGCACUCUUUCGACGUCCACGAUGAGUGCUUGGACUGCCCAGUGCAGAUAGGUGAUUGGAUUAUACCGAUCGACCUUCUAGUGUUAAAAGAAAUGUGGGGCUUCGAGGUAAUCUUGGGGAUCAAUUGGCUCUCCAAAUACUACGCGGUUAUAGAUUGAGAAAGAAGGGUGAUCACGUUCCGUGAGCCUAACCAAGAGGAGUUUGUGUAUCGGGCGUGCAAAGGCAAACGCUUCGCAGCCACUAUAUCGACGGUGAGGGCAAAGAGAAUGAUUAAGGGUGGUUGCAAGGCUUACUUAGCGACUAUCGUAGACCCUCAAAAGGAAUACCCGGAGCUGGACAGUAUUCGAGUUGUGUGUGUGUAAGGAAGUGAAUCCUCGAAAUCCGAGGAUUUGACUUCGAUUGGAAUCGACGUUUUGUUGAGUGUGUGAGCUUCGGAAAGUCCGAAGGUGAUUAAAAUGCCUAAAACGCAUUAAGGAAAGGUCUGCGAGAGCACCAGUGCAAAACUUGCACUGGAGCAGAAAUGCUCUCGAGGACCGGUCCCUGGUAGGGAGGGACCAGUCCCAUCCUGCUGGGCUGCGGAGGUCUCUGAUGAGACCGGUCCCUGGCAGGCAGGGACCGGUUCCCGAACGUCAGCCCAGCGAGAAUAGCCGAAAUUUGGCUAAGUCCCGAGAAUCCAACUUUCAGGAACCGGUCUCUCGGAAAAGGACUCUCAAGCAAAGACUGGUUCCCGAACGCGAAAAUCCCUCUGCUUAGAAUUGCAGCUUUCGGGGACCGGUCUCCCCGAGCUGGGACCGGUCCCUCACUGCGAAAAUGCCCAGAGAGGGCUGAUUUGAAGGAUGAAAAGUUGAGGGGGCUAUCUGCAAAAUGGCCUUUAUUAGAGGUUGGGGGAUCUCUCUCUCCCUCUUAUUUGCUCUCUCUCCCUCUCACACUCUUUCCCUCUCUCUCUCUAGAAAAUAAGGAGAAGGUGAAGGAGAAGAAGGGAAGGAAGGAAAAGAGGAAGAAGUGGAAGGAGAAGUUCAAGAAGAAGAAGAAGGAGGUCUUUUUCCCUCUCUUCUUCAAGCUAGAGCAAGUUUGGAGCUUGGCUUAAAGGUAAGCUCCCAACCCAUCCAUGGUGGAUUUCUUAGGAUUGGGUUUUAUUGCCUAGAAAUGAUUUGAAUGGAACCUAGAGGAGAUAAAUCGGUGGUUCGGGCUCGCAAUUGAAGCUUGCGCCACGAAUUUCCUCACCGAUGCUAAUCUAGGGCACGGAUUUGGGAUUUUUGGAAAUCUAGGGUUUUGAUCUAUCUUAAUAGGUUGUAAACCAAAUUGCUAGGUCUCGGAACGCGUCGGCGAAGACGGUUUGCCGAUCCGACGAGCGAGUGCGGAGUUAUCACCGAAUCGGGUACUUGAGGGCUCGCUUCGCCCCGAGGAGUUGAAGCGACGUGCAAAGACCGCAGCGUCGAGUUUUCUACCAUCGCGGCAUCGCCAAGAGGUGGGUGGUGUCCAUCCUGAAGCAAUCGGGCUCUCUCUUAUGUCUUAGUAUUUUAAGACCUUGCAUCUCGAGUUCAUAUGCAUUGUAGGAUGAUUAUGCAUCGCCUUUCCCUAUGAUUUCCUAUCUGAUAUCGUAUUAUGCAUUGGUAACUGGAUAUAGGGGAUUGAUGAGGAUUGGGUCGAGUCUUAUAAUCCUAUAGUGUAGUGAUGAAAGUAUGAUGUAAUAGUUGAAAUAAAAGAACGAGUGGCACCUAGUUAUUAAUUGACAAAGAACGAGUGGCAUUGUGAGUCGUAGCGUAUAUGAAACCCAUUGACUAUGGUGACAGUAACCCUAGAGGAUAGGCACCCUUGAGGUGGGAGAAUUGGGAUCAUACUCAUUGUCCGCUCCCAACUUGUGGUGGUCACUCCACACAAGUAGUGCGCUCCGGAGUCAGUCACGAGGGAUGGCCUAUUUGGGGUCCCGUGGGAUAGGGAUGGCCUACUUGAGGUCCCGAGGGAUGGCCUAUUUGGGGUCCCGCAGACGGUCUCGGAUGUGUAGUGAUCGAGACGGUUAGGUGAGUAAUGGAUAGAUCCCUAAGUGAACCACGAGAUUGAUGAACCAGUAAAUAGCUUUACCUUUCGGACAUAUGAAGAGCUAGUUGAACUGUCUAUUUCUUUGUGCAUGCAUUCAUCAUAUACAUAAUUCGGGCACAGUAGUAUAGUUUUAUUAUCUGCUUCUACAGCUUUUCAUAUCUAUCUAUCUAUCUGUUUAUCUACUUGCGCCCACUUGGACCUAGUGGGGAGACCGGCGGAGUCGGCGGCCGAACCCACUGGGAACUAUGGAAGAUAGUUCUCACCUUACUUUUUACAGGUUCGAGUUCGGGUGUCCCGGGCGAGCGUGAGGAUCGCGGUAAGGGCCUAGCGCCCUAGUUGCAUUAGCCACCUACCCUUUUGCAUUAGCUCUACCUGUAUUUAUGUUCGAGAGUAGAUGAUGUAUAGGGUGAGGUUUGAGUGCUUGUAUUUAUAUUUUGGAGGAAUAUAAAGGAUGUAAUUAAAUGUAUUAAGUCAAAUGCAUGUAAUAGAUAGAGCUUUCUCUCUUUAUGUACUUGUAUAUUUCAUACUUGUAUCUUGCUCUUGGUUGUUGCACUGGUGGUGCUUCUUGAUCGUGUAUUUAUGAAUUGAUUCCUGGGUAAAUUCUUAUACAUGAUCUGUUGGUUAGCCUUGGGCGGACAGGGGAGGUCCUGUCCGUUCGGCGUCUGUUUGACGCGCCCGGGGCCGGAUCAAAUUAGAAGCGGUCUCGGGGAGUGACAGCGUGAGUAUCCGGAUGUAUUCCCAGCGGAGUUACCGGGACUGCCUCCGGAUCGGGAAGUCGAGUUUGUUAUCGACUUGAUUCCCGGGGCGGCGCCAAUUUUGAAGGCUCCGUAUAGAAUGUGUAAGGGAAGUGAAUUCUCGAAAUCCGAGGAUUUGACUUCGUAUGAAAUCGACUAAUCGUCGAGGGUGUAAGCUUCGGAAAGUCCGAAGAUGCUUAGAAUGCAUGAAGUGCAUUAGCGAAGAGCCCGCGAGAGCAGCAGUGCAAAACCUGCACUAGAGCAGAUUUGCUCUCGGGGACCGGUCCCUGGCAGGGAGGGACUGGUCCCAUCAGGCUGGGCUGGCGGGGACCCUUGUGGCAACCGGUCUCUGGUGGGUAAGGACCGGUUCCCGAACGUUAGCCCAGCGAAAGAAGCCGAAAUUUGGCUAAGUCCCGAAAGUCUAGCUCUCGGGAACCGGUCUCUCGGACAAGGACCGGUCUCCCGGGGACCGGUCUCUCAGGCAGGGACCGGUUCCCGAAUGCGAAAUCCCCUCUGCCCGAUUGUGCAGCUCUCGGGGACCGGUCUCCCCGACCUGGGACUGGUCCCUCACUGCGAAAUUAGCCCAGUGAAGGCUGUUUAGUGGAUGGAAAGUUGAGGAGCUUAUUUGCAAAAUGGCCUAUAUGAAGGCUUGGGGGACCCUUUCUCCCUCUCAUUGCUCUCUUCCUCUCACACCCUUUUGCUCUUUCUCUCUCUAGAAAGGAAAAGAAGGGAAAGAAGAAGGAAAGGAAGAGGAAGGAGAAGACUAAGAAGAAGAAGGAGAUCAUCUUCUUCUCUCCCUCUCUCAAGCUUGAAGCUUUGUUUAGAGGUAAGCACUAAAUCCUUUAAUGGUAUUUCUAGGGUUUGGGGUUUUUGUUUUUUAGAAAUGGUUCGAAUGGAACCUAUUGAAGCUAGGGAGAAGGUUUGAGCUCGAAAUUGAAGCUCGCACAAUGGAUUUCGCCACCGUUGCCAACCUAGGGCACGGAUUUGGGAUUUUUUGGAAAGUUAGGGUUUUGAUCUAUUUUAAUAGGUCGUAAACCUAAUUGAUAGGUCUCUAAACGUGUAGGCGAAAACGGUUCGUCGAUCCGACGAGCGAGUGCGAAGAUAUCGCUGAAACGGAUAUUUGAGAGUUCGCUUUGCCCCGAGGUGCUGAAGCGACGUACGAAGGCCGCGGCGUCGAGUUGUCUAGCCGCGCGGCACUACUAAAAGGUGGGGGAGUGCCAUCCCGAAGCAGUCGAACUGCUCUUUAUGUCUGAGUACUAUUGUCGAUCAAUUUCAUAUUGUAACAUAGCAUUAUAGGGUGUUAAAUGUAAUUGUACAUAUCCUUGCAUGCUAGUGGUAGUUUGGGUCAUGGAUACAAUGUAUGAGAACCUAGUAUGCAUGAGUUGAACACUAUGAGAUAGUUAACCCUAUAUGUGAAGAAUAUGUCUUUGUGAAUAAGAACCUAGUAUAUUGUAAACUAGUGUAUCAAGAACUUGUCAAGGGAACGAGUGGCAUCUAGUUAACCUUAAACAUUGAACGAGUGGCAUUAAGUAGUACCAGAGUGGCAUGAGAACACUAGUAUAGCUGAGAUACUAUGUGAUUGACUACUAGAACACUCGAUUCUAUAUUGCUAUCACCCUUGGUUGGUUAGGGUGUUCCCAGUUCAUGAGAUUGGAUCGAGCUCACUUAGCCUGUCUGCAUCUGUGGAGGUAGCUCCUCACAGGUAGUGCACUCCGGAGUUUGGCACGCGAGGGGGCCAGUGUAGUGCCCUUGGACUAGUGUAGUGUUCGCAGGCGGUCUCGGGGUAGGUGAAUAGCUAGCCUCCUCCCCUAUGAGACUUACACACGUGAGACUGUGAGCGAGCCUUGUGUUCGCCAAGAGAUUGGGUAAUCAGAUGAAUGAUUUCGUUGUUGAACAUAGUAGUAUGAUAGCUGACAUUCUUACCAUGAGUUCCAUGGAUGCAUUUGAGUGGAUUGAGGCAUUGAUAGAUCCUAGUUCAUAGCUGUUCAACACUGCUAUUGCUUUCAGUUCCAUAUACCUAUCUAUCGGCAUAUCUAUCUGUGCCUGCUUAGACCUAGUGGGGAGAUCGGCGGAGUCGGCGGCUGAACCCACUGGGAACUAUUCGUAGUUCUCACUCCACCAUGUUGCAGGUCCGAGUUCGAGCGCCCCCAGUGAGGAUCGCGGCAAGGGUGUAGCGCCCUAGUGGAACAUGUAUAUAGUUAGCUUACCUCCUUUUGCAUUAGCCCUACCUUGUACAAUGUUUGAGAGUAGAUGAUGUAUAGGGUGAGGAUUUGGGAGUGAUUGUAUACAUAUUUUGGACGAAUGUAAAAGAUAAAAUAAUUGUAUAAAGUUUAAUGAGUUAAUAGUUAAGUACAUCUCUCUUUUAUCACUUGUAUGCCUUACAUGUGUUGCUUGCUCUUAGUUGAUAAGCACUGUUUGUGCUUCGUCGUUAAUAUCUGAUUGUGUAUGUAUUCAAGUUGUUUCCUGGGAGCUUGUUGUACACAACCUAGUCGUUUGAGCCUUGGGUGGAUAGAAGAGGUGCUGUCCGUUCGGCGGUCCGUUCGCCGCGCCUGAACCGGACCAAAUUGGUAUCGGUCUCGGGGCGGGGGCGUGACACCUUGAGUACCAAAACAGCGAGCGUCGGCUGGAGCGCGAAAUCGACUCGAAUCGGCGGCUUUUACGUAGAGAGAGAGAGAAAAACCCUAGAGAGAGAGAGAGAGAAGGUGAAAGAAGCUUUCUCUGAGCCUAGCAACCUCCACUGAGCCUCCAGAGUCGUGCUGGAUUCAAAUAGAUGAGAACAAGAGGUGAAAUUACCAAAUUAGCCCUGCUGCCACUUUUCUGCCAUUGUGUACCGGUACACAUUGAUGGCUGUACCUGUACACAAUGCAGAAAACCCUGAUUUUCGCCAGAGCAAUGCACUUUCAUACUUUUACCCAUCCAAUCAUUCUCUAACUUGUAAAAAAAACUUGUCCAAGUCAUUUAGAACAUGUAGAAUAGUUCCACAUAUCAUUCCACACACUCGAACUCUGCAAAUUGCAAAAGUUCAGUGUAUUACAUCAGCGGACUCAGCGGCCGAACCAACUGGUAACUAUUCGAAGUUCUCACUCCACCAUAUUGCAGGUCCGAGCUCGAGCGUCCCCGGUGAGGAUCGCGGCAAGGGCAUAGCGCCCUAGUGAUAUUAGCAGAGGUUUACUUUCCUUUAUGCAUUAGUUACACCCUGUACUUAUUUUGAGCGUAGAUUGAUUGAUAGGGUGAGGUUUUGAGAGGAUUGUAUAUGUUGUACAGGUUUAGAAGAUUGCAAAAUGUAAUAAUUGUAUUAAGUUGAAUGGAUGUAAUAGAAUAGUUAAGUACCACUCUUUCACUCCACUGUAUGGUUGUUUUACUCGUGAUGCUUGCUCUCGUAUUGUAUAGCACUAACUGUGCUUUCGUUGUUGUUGUAUGAUUGUGUAUGUAUGCAAGAUGUUAUUCUGGGAACUUGUUGUACACAAUCUCGUCGUUGUGCCUUGGGCGGACAGGGGAGGUACUGUCCGUACGGCGGUCCGCCGCCGUGCCCGAACCGAACCAAAUUGGUAUCGGCCUCGGGGCGGGGGCGUGACAGAAAAAUUACUAGUUGCAAAGUUAUACUGUUGGGGCGCAACAGAGUAGUCUAUUGUUGUUCCGGUUUUGGUUAUUGUUAAGGUUGACAUCGAUUCGUUUCAAAUUUACACUCUCGAGGCAUAAUAGAACAAUAUAAUUAGGUUUUACUCUUUGUUCGAUAGAAUGAGAAAAAGUACUCAUUGCAAAGUUAUACUGUUAGGGCGCAACCGAAUAGUCUAAUGUUGUUCCGGUUUUGGUUCUUGUGAACGCUGACAUCAAUUGGUUCGAAAUUACAACUCUCGGGGCAUAAUUGAACAAUAUAAAUUAGGUUUUACUCUUUGUUCGAUAGAAUGAGAAAAAGAACUCGUCGCAAAGUUAUACUGCUAGGGGGCAACUGAGUAGUCUAAUAUUGUUCCGGUUUUGGUUCUUGUGAACGUUGACAUCGAUUCGUUCCAAAUUUACACUCUCGGGGCAUAAUAGAACAAUACAAUUAAGUUUUACUCUUUGUUCGAUCGAAUGAGAAAAAGUACUCGUUGCAAAUUUAUAAUAUUAGGGCGCAGCUGAGUAGUCUAAUGUUGUUCCGGUUUUGGUUCUUGUGAAGGUUGACAUCGAUUCGUUCCAAAUUUACACUCUUGGGGCAUAAUAGAACAAUAUAAUUAGCUUUUACACUUUGUUCGAUCGAAUGGGAAAAAAGUACUCGUUACAAAGUUAUACUGUUAGGGCGCAACUGAGUAGUCUAUUGUUGUUCCAGCUUUGGUUCUUAUGAAGGUUGACAUCGAUUCAUUCCAAAUUUACACUCUCGCGGCAUAAUAGAACAAUAUAAUUAGCUUUUACACUUUGUUCGAUUGAAUGAGAAAAAGUACUAGUUGCAAAGUUAUAUUGUUGGGGUACAACAGAGUAGUCUAUUGUUGUUCCGGUUUUGGUUCUAGUGAAAGUUGACAUCGAUUCGUUCCAAAUUUACACUCUCGGGGCAUAAUGAAUAAAAUAAUUAGCUUUUACACUUUGUUCGAUUGAAUGAGAAAAAGUACUAGUUGCAAAGUUAUACUGUUGGGGCGCAACAGAGUAGUCUACUGUUGUUCCGGUUUUGGUUCUUGUUAAGGUUGACAUCGAUUCAUUCCAAAUUUACACUCUCGGGGCAUAAUAGGACAAUAUAAUUAGGUUUUACUCUUUGUUCGAUAGAAUGAGAAAAAGUACUCAUUGCAAAGUUCUACUGUUAGGGCGCAACUGAAUAGCGUUAUGUUGUUACGGUUUUGGUUCUUGUGAACGUUGACAUCGAUUCGUUCGAAAUUACAACUCUCGCGGCAUAAUUGAACAAUAUAAUUAGGUUUUACACUUUGUUCAAUAGAAUGAGAAAAAGUACUCGUCGCAAAGUUAUACUGUUGGGGCGCAACUAAGUAGUCUAAUGUUGUUCCGGUUUUGGUUCUUGUGAACGUUGACAUCGAUUCGUUCCAAAUUUACACUCUCGGGGCAAAAUAGGACAAUAUAAUUAAGUUUUACGCUUUGUUCGAUCGAAUGAGAAAAUGUACGCGUUGCAAAUUUAUACUGUUAGGGCGCAGCUGGGUAGUCUAAUGUUGUUCCGGUUUCGGUUCAUGUGAAGGUUGACAUCGAUUCGUUCCAAAUGUACACUCUUGGGGCAUAAUAGAACAAUAUAAUUAGCUUUUACACUUUGUUCAAUCGAAUGGAAAAAAAUACUCGUUGCAAAGUUAUACUGUUAGGGCGCAGCUUAGUAGUCUAAUGUUGUUCCGGUUUUGGUUCUUGUGAAGGUUGACAUCGAUUCGUUCUAAAUUUACACUCGCGGGGCAUAAUAGAACAAUAUAAUUAGCUUUUACACUUUGUUCGGUCGAAUGGGAAAAAGUACUCGUUGCAAAGUUAUACUGUUAGGGCGGAACUGAGUAGACUAUUGUUGUUCCGGUUUUGGUUCUUGUGAAGGUUGACAUCGAUUCGUUCCAAAUUUACACUCUUGGGGCAUAAUAGAACAAUAUAAUUAGUUUUUACACUUUGUUCGAUUGAUUAAGAAAAAGUACUAGUUGCAAAGUUAUACUGUUGGGGCGCAACAGAGUAGUCUAUUGUUGUUCCGGUUUUGAUUCUUGCUAAGGUUGACAUCGAUUCGUUCCAAAUUUACACUCUCGGGGCAUAAUAGAACAAUAUAAUUUGGUUUUACUCUUUGUUCGAUAGAAUAAGAAAAAGUAGUCAUUGCAAUGUUAUACUGUUAGGGCGCCACUGAAUAGUCUAAUAUUGUUCCGGUUUUGGUUCUUGUGAACGUUGACAUCGAUUCGUUCGAAAUUACAACUCUCGGGGCAUAAUUGAACAAUAUAAUUAGGUUUUACUCUUUGUUCGAUAGAAUGAGAAAAAGUACUCGUCGCAAAGUUAUACUGCUAGGGCGCAACUGAGUAGUCUAAUGUUGUUCCGAUUUUGGUUCUUGUGAACGUUGACAUCGAUUCGUUCCAAAUUUACACUCUCGGGGCACAAUUGAACAAUAUAAUUAGGUUUUACUCUUUGUUCGAUAAAAAGAGAAAAAGUACUCGUUGCAAAGUUAUACUGUUAGGGCGCAACAGAGUAGUCUAAUGUUGUUCCGGUUUUCGUUCUUGUGAACGGUGACAUCGAUUCGUUCCAAAUUUACACUCUCGGGNCUGGGAACUUGUUGUACACAAUCUCGUCGUUGUGCCUUGGGCGGACAGGGGAGGUACUGUCCGUACGGCGGUCCGCCGCCGUGCCCGAACCGAACCAAAUUGGUAUCGGCCUCGGGGCGGGGGCGUGACAGAAAAAUUACUAGUUGCAAAGUUAUACUGUUGGGGCGCAACAGAGUAGUCUAUUGUUGUUCCGGUUUUGGUUAUUGUUAAGGUUGACAUCGAUUCGUUUCAAAUUUACACUCUCGAGGCAUAAUAGAACAAUAUAAUUAGGUUUUACUCUUUGUUCGAUAGAAUGAGAAAAAGUACUCAUUGCAAAGUUAUACUGUUAGGGCGCAACCGAAUAGUCUAAUGUUGUUCCGGUUUUGGUUCUUGUGAACGCUGACAUCAAUUGGUUCGAAAUUACAACUCUCGGGGCAUAAUUGAACAAUAUAAAUUAGGUUUUACUCUUUGUUCGAUAGAAUGAGAAAAAGAACUCGUCGCAAAGUUAUACUGCUAGGGGGCAACUGAGUAGUCUAAUAUUGUUCCGGUUUUGGUUCUUGUGAACGUUGACAUCGAUUCGUUCCAAAUUUACACUCUCGGGGCAUAAUAGAACAAUACAAUUAAGUUUUACUCUUUGUUCGAUCGAAUGAGAAAAAGUACUCGUUGCAAAUUUAUAAUAUUAGGGCGCAGCUGAGUAGUCUAAUGUUGUUCCGGUUUUGGUUCUUGUGAAGGUUGACAUCGAUUCGUUCCAAAUUUACACUCUUGGGGCAUAAUAGAACAAUAUAAUUAGCUUUUACACUUUGUUCGAUCGAAUGGGAAAAAAGUACUCGUUACAAAGUUAUACUGUUAGGGCGCAACUGAGUAGUCUAUUGUUAUUCCAGUUUUGGUUCUUGUGAAGGUUGACAUCGAUUCGUUCCAAAUUUACACUCUCGGGGCAUAAUAGAACAAUAAAAUUAGCUUUUACACUUUGUUCGAUUGAAUAAGAAAAAGUACUAGUUGCAAAGUUAUAUUGUUGGGGUGCAACAGAGUAGUCUAUUGUUUUUCCGAUUUUGGUUCUGGUGAAGGUUGAUAUCGAUUCGUUCCAAAUUUACACUCUCGGGGCAUAAUGAAUAAAAUAAAUAGCUUUUACACUUUGUUCGAUUGAAUGAGAAAAAGUACUAGUUGCAAAGUUAUACUGUUGGGGCGCAACAGAGUAGUUUACUGUUGUUCCGAUUUUGGUUCUUGUUAAGGUUGACAUCGAUUCAUUCCAAAUUUACACUCUCGGGGCAUAAUAGAACAAUACAAUUAAGUUUUACUCUUUGUUCGAUCGAAUGAGAAAAAGUACUCGUUGCAAAAUUAUGCUGUUAGGGCGCAACUGAGUAGUCUAGUGUUGUUCCGAUUUUGGUUCUUGUGAAGAUUGACAUCGAUUCGUUCCAAAUUUACACUCUCGGGGCAUAAUAGAACAAUAUAAUUAGCUUUUACACUUUGUUCGAUUGAAUGAGAAAAAGUACUAGUUGCAAAGUUAUACUGUUGGGGCGCAACAGAGUAGUCUAUUGUUGUUCCGGUUUUGGUUCUUGUUAAGGUUGACAUCGAUUCGUUCCAAAUUUACACUCUCGGGGCAUAAUAGAACAAUAUAAUUAGGUUUUACUCUUUGUUCGAUCGAAUGAGAAAAAGUACUCGUUGCAAAGUUAUACUGUUAGGGCGCAACUGAGUAGUCUAAUGUUGUUCCGGUUUUGGUUCUUGUGAACGUUGACAUCGAUUCGUUCGAAUUUACACUCUCGCGGCAUAAUAGAACAAUAUAAUUAGGUUUUACACUUUGUUCGAUAGAAUGAGAAAAAGUACUCGUUGCAAAGUUAUACUGUUAGGGCGCAACUGAGUAGUCUAAUGUUGUUCCGGUUUUGGUUCUUGUGAACGUUGACAUCGAUUCGUUCCAAAUUUACACUCUCGGGGCAUAAUAGAACAAUAUAAUUAGGUUUUACGCUUUGUUCGAUUGAAUGAGAAAAAGUACUCGUUGCAAAGUUAUACUGUUAGGGCGCAACUGAGUAGUCUAAUGUUGUUCCGGUUUUGGUUCUUGUGAACGUUGACAUCGAUUCGUUCCAAAUUUACACUCUCGGGGCAUAAUAGAACAAUAUAAUUAGNNN